AACGAACGCUGGCGGCAUGCCUAACACAUGCAAGUCGAACGAGACCUUCGGGUCUAGUGGCGCACGGGUGCGUAACGCGUGGGAACCUGCCCUUAGGUUCGGAAUAACUCCCCGAAAGGGGUGCUAAUACCGGAUCAUGUCUUCGGACCAAAGAUUUAUCGCCUUUGGAUGGGCCCGCGUUGGAUUAGCUAGUUGGUAGGGUAAAAGCCUACCAAGGCGACGAUCCAUAGCUGGUCUGAGAGGAUGAUCAGCCACACUGGGACUGAGACACGGCCCAGACUCCUACGGGAGGCAGCAGUGGGGAAUAUUGGAAAAUGGGCGAAAGCCUGAUGCAGCAAUGCCGCGUGAGUGAUGAAGGCCUUAGGGUUGUAAAGCUCUUUUACCCGGGAUGAUAAUGACAGUACCGGGAGAAUAAGCUCCGGCUAACUCCGUG
Molecule: ribosomal RNA, 433 nt
Filed under: uncultured bacterium
Lineage: Bacteria
Description: partial 16S ribosomal RNA
Rfam family: Bacterial small subunit ribosomal RNA
Source: RNAcentral